RNAcentral lists this transfer RNA (59 nucleotides) under Ictidomys tridecemlineatus (thirteen-lined ground squirrel). RNAcentral's name for it is "Spermophilus tridecemlineatus (thirteen-lined ground squirrel) tRNA". It matches the Rfam family "tRNA", at positions 7 to 64 of the family's 71-position model. From Rfam's summary of the family: Transfer RNA (tRNA) molecules are approximately 80 nucleotides in length. Their secondary structure includes four short double-helical elements and three loops (D, anti-codon, and T loops). The record is from Rfam by way of RNAcentral. Lineage: Eukaryota; Metazoa; Chordata; Mammalia; Rodentia; Sciuridae.
GUGGCUCAGUAAUAAAGCACAUGUCUAGUAAGCAUGAGGCUCUGGGUUCAAUCCCCAGC